UACAGAGGUCUCGAGCGUUGUUCGGAUUCAUUGGGCGUAAAGGGCGCGUAGGCGGCGGGGUAAGUCUGGUGUGAAAUCUCGGAGCUCAACUCCGAAAUUGCACUGGAUACUGCUCUGCUAGAGGGCUGGAGAGGAGAUCGGAAUUCACGGUGUAGCAGUGAAAUGCGUAGAUAUCGUGAGGAAGGCCAGUGGCGAAGGCGGAUCUCUGGACAGCUCCUGACGCUGAGGCGCGAAGGCUAGGGGAGCAAACGGG
Molecule: ribosomal RNA, 253 nt
Filed under: uncultured bacterium
Lineage: Bacteria
Description: partial 16S ribosomal RNA
Rfam family: Bacterial small subunit ribosomal RNA
Source: RNAcentral